GGCGCGUUCGUCUAGUGGUCUAGGACGCUGGCCUCUCACGCCGGUAACAGGGGUUCGACUCCCCUACGCGCUA
Molecule: transfer RNA, 73 nt
Filed under: Fidelibacterota bacterium
Lineage: Bacteria; Pseudomonadati; Fidelibacterota
Also listed under: 1 other name
Description: tRNA-Glu
Rfam family: tRNA
About the family: Transfer RNA (tRNA) molecules are approximately 80 nucleotides in length. Their secondary structure includes four short double-helical elements and three loops (D, anti-codon, and T loops). Further hydrogen bonds mediate the characteristic L-shaped molecular structure. tRNAs have two regions of fundamental functional importance: the anti-codon, which is responsible for specific mRNA codon recognition, and the 3' end, to which the tRNAs corresponding amino acid is attached (by aminoacyl-tRNA synthetases). tRNAs cope with the degeneracy of the genetic code in two manners: having more than one tRNA (with a specific anti-codon) for a particular amino acid; and 'wobble' base-pairing, i.e. permitting non-standard base-pairing at the 3rd anti-codon position.
Source: RNAcentral